GGUGCACCGUUACUUCUUCAAGCUCUGCUUGCCAUCUACAGUCCUGUUCCGCUGAGACCAUUAUUCAAAGGAAGUGAAGUUUCCUAAAUUACAGGGAGUAGUCCCUUUUUUCCGAUUUAUGAAAACCAAUAAUUUCAGCAGCCGCGCGAGGAAAGCACGUCAAAGAUUCAUUAAGACCCAAAUACAGACCGUGCAACCAAGCGGUGAACGCGAUUCAAACCCUAUGUAGACAGAGAUAGAGAGAUCGAGGUCACGCCCGACUGCUUCUCCGAGUCGUCUAAGUUUCUUUACCUGUCGUCUGGUCGUAGCGUGUGCACGAUGCUUCUUCAGUAACUUAUUUACCUUUGACGCCGUCGUGUCUAUCUACGCACAUCGUUGUCACCAUGCCCACUUCACUCGUACGGGCAGGAUUGGUCCUUUUUGCCAUUGUGGAGAUUUCUUCUGGAGCAAGCGAUUACUUCAGCUUGUUUUCAGAUUUUCAAGUGUCGGGAGAGGAAGUGGUGAUCGUGCGGACGACAACGCCUGGGUUAGGACCACAGUUUCUUCAAUCUCCUCGACAACCUCAGCUGCAAUUCCAGGCUUUUAAUCAAUCUUACGAUCUGACUUUACAACCUGUUACGACAGAUAGCCUGAUCUCUCCCCAUUUCACCGUCAUACGCCGUGACAGGAACACAACGCAGACCAUCCCAAUACACUCUGUCGCCAAAUGUUUUUACCGUGGACAACACGCAGCCUUCGAUCUCUGUCGGAGCAUGAGAGGAAUUGUUAUUUUAUCUCCCACCGAGUUUUUAAGCGUAGAGCCGUUGCGGCUUCUCAGAAGAUCGUUGGACGCUGAAAGUCCUCACUUGAUCCGACGAAUGUCGCGGAAUUCUGAAAGCCAGCCUCUUGUGUGGAAGAACAGAAAACGUGUUGAACGAAACGUUAAUUUUCGAAAGGAAUCGGGUGUUACUAUUGAAACGGCUGUCUUCGUGGACGCCUUUCUUUACAAUCACAUGGCUCGCGAAAAUUUUCCGGAUGAAACUGAACAAGAGAUGACACAUUUCGUGCUAGCCAUGAUUAAUGCGGUGCAAUUACUUUAUCAGGAUGACUCGUUGGGCCAUCAAAUUGAUUUCCAGGUGCAGCGAUUAGAGAUGUGGACUCGUCAGCCACUAGACCUUCUACCAAUUUUGUCUUCUUCAUCCGGAUCUACCACAGCGAUUCCUGGCAAACAAGGAAUCCAUGACAUUGAUCGAUAUCUCAAUCGAUUUUGUCAUUGGCAAAGCCGUGAAAAUCCAGCUGACGACCACGAUCCUGAUCAUUGGGACCAUGCACUGUUGCUAACCGGCCUUGAUCUCUUUGCCAUUGGUCGCGAUGGAUUCACGACCCAUCAGGUUGUUGGUUUGGCUCCGAUCGGAGGAAUGUGCACAGCGACGAGCAGCUGCACAGUCAACGAAGGAAGGCAUUUCGAGUCCGUUUACGUAGUGGCUCAUGAAAUAGGGCACAGUUUGGGAAUGAAACACGAUGGACGAGAGGCCGGUAAUGACUGCGACUCAGGCAGUUUUUUAAUGUCACCUACGCUUGGCAGUGGAAAAACUCAGUGGUCACCCUGCAGUAAACAUUAUCUCGAUGCUUUCCUCAACACAAGGCAAGCAGGAUGCUUACGGGAUAGAAGCUGGACCUCUCAACGAUUGAAUCAUAACGCGUCCGAGUCGCUGCCAGGCGAGCGUUUUACAGCUGAUCAGCAAUGUAUGUUGAGGUAUGGUCGAGAAAGUCGACGAAACUCUCAAAGGCCCUUGAACGAGAUAUGCCGUGAUCUUCGUUGCACAAAAGUUCCUCCUAGACUUGUUCGUCAAAGUGGCACCAGCUUGGUGUCAUAUGGAUCUCAUCCAGCUUUGGAAGGGACAGCGUGUGGCGAAGGCAUGUGGUGUCGAAGAAGUCGUUGCUCUUCGCGAAUCCGAAUGCAAAACUAUGAUUUGGACCCUACCUCACGUGCCAAUAGUGAACAUCCAUCGUGGUCCGUUGUUACGCCGUGUGCUUCCGGUUGCCUGUAUGGCACCAAUUCAUUGAGCAGUGGUAGCAUGGCUAUAUCCACUCACAUUCAAAAUUGUAAAUAUAAUUCACCUUGCGAUAAUGCUUCAGUCCGCUACCGAACGUGCGACGGAUCACAAUUAUGUUUUAACAUCACUCGCACAACAAUCCAGCAGUAUUCCAACGAUGUUUGCUACCAGGCUGCGCAACAAAAUUCUUCAAUUCUACCGAAAGGAAUCCAACAGCUCAGCGUGGAUGCGUAUCGGUCGUGUCAAGUAUGGUGUUAUUUGAGAUCAGGCGGAAUGACUUCUUCUUCAGGGUGGAUAUACCCUGAUGGUACACAGUGUCAAACUGGAUCGAACACGCAGUACGGUCGGAACAUAAAUCGCAUAAAAGUGGCUACUCUUUGCCUCUCUGGGAGAUGCCAGGAAUUUUCGUGCGAUAAUAGCUCGGUGCACCAGUUGCAUGCAGAUGUUUGUCGGACUGAGGAACCGGCAGAAUCCAACAUCGUUUAUGAUUAUUCAUUUCCACAAAGCAAACCAAUGGCCUUCAAAUACAGUGGAAAUGCUUAUUAUCCGGCUCGUAUUAGCCUUCCUGAAACUUCCGAACAUUUUGCUUCUCAGUCGAUGUAUCCACCAGCACCGGUAGCUUCAUAUCCAUCUCAAACGGCCAUAUUUGCAACAGCAGACGAGGCCUCUCUAUUGCCUCAAAACGUCUCAAACAACAGUAGGAUGGAAAGUGUUUGGAGUCCUUGGAAGACGAUCAGCUCUUGUCGAUCAGGUUGUCUUUUGUCGUCAAAAGGAUUACGGUUAGUUCAACGGAUUUGUGAGAGUGGGACAUGUGAUUCGAGUUCUAGUAGCAGCGUCCAGCUUUGCAUACCAACCGAACAGGAAUGUUCGGAAUACCAACCCAUUACAUCAUUUGCGGAUCAAGUGUGUCGGCAGCAGCACUGGUCGGACCUUCACCGGGGAAUUCAGUUGACAGAACGCUUAAAAGAUGCAUGCGUCGUGCACUGCCGCAAUCCACGGUCUGGUGAGCUCACUGCAGCUGUUGGUGAAACGGGUUGGUUUCCCUCGGGAACCUUAUGCAAUCUGCUGAAACCGGCAUAUUGUCUCAGCGGACGCUGUGUUAGAUUUUUUCUUUACUCUGACGCAGGAGUUUGACGCGGAUGGAAUACCGAAGUGAGUUUGGUCUGGAUUGUUAACUCUGUCGUGACGUGCUUAAAAUGCCUAAUCGCGUCUGAAAGUGACCUACCAUAAUCAACAAUGUUCUUUUUUAAAAAACAGAAUAAACGAUAAUGAUAACGUC
This 3315-nucleotide unclassified non-coding RNA is filed under the name Daphnia magna. RNAcentral's name for it is "a disintegrin and metalloproteinase with thrombospondin motifs adt-1-like, transcript variant X1". Lineage: Eukaryota; Metazoa; Arthropoda; Branchiopoda; Diplostraca; Daphniidae. The record is from RNAcentral.